Molecule: transfer RNA, 72 nt
Filed under: Spirochaetales bacterium
Lineage: Bacteria; Pseudomonadati; Spirochaetota; Spirochaetia; Spirochaetales
Also listed under: 3 other names
Description: tRNA-Glu
Rfam family: tRNA
About the family: Transfer RNA (tRNA) molecules are approximately 80 nucleotides in length.
Source: RNAcentral
GGCCCAUUCGUCUAACGGUUAGGACGCAGCCCUCUCAAGGCUGUAAUAGCGGUUCGAUUCCGCUAUGGGCUA